GUGCUCAGUUCAGCAGCACAUAUACAAAAAUUGGAACGAUACAGAGAAGAUUAGCACGGCCCCUGCGCAAGGAUGACAUGCAAAUUUGUGAAGCGUUCCAUAUUUAA
RNAcentral lists this small nuclear RNA (107 nucleotides) under Castor canadensis (American beaver). Lineage: Eukaryota; Metazoa; Chordata; Mammalia; Rodentia; Castoridae. The record is from RNAcentral.